CCUACGGGGGGCAGCAGUAAGGGAUAUUGGUCAAUGGGGGAAACCCUGAACCAGCAACGCCGCGUGAGGGAAGACGGUUUUCGGAUUGUAAACCUCUGUCCUCUGUGAAGAUGAUGACGGUAGCAGAGGAGGAAGCUCCGGCUAACUACGUGCCAGCAGCCGCGGUAAUACGUAGGGAGCGAGCGUUGUCCGGAUUUACUGGGUGUAAAGGGAGCGUAGACGGCAGGGCAAGUCUGGAGUGAAAGCCCGGGGCCCAACCCCGGGACUGCUUUGGAAACUGCCAUGCUGGAGUGCUGGAGAGGUAA
RNAcentral lists this ribosomal RNA (305 nucleotides) under uncultured bacterium. RNAcentral's name for it is "bacterial SSU rRNA". It matches the Rfam family "Bacterial small subunit ribosomal RNA", at positions 338 to 660 of the family's 1533-position model. The record is from RNAcentral.